Molecule: ribosomal RNA, 661 nt
Filed under: uncultured Dictyoglomota bacterium
Lineage: Bacteria; Pseudomonadati; Dictyoglomota
Description: bacterial SSU rRNA
Rfam family: Bacterial small subunit ribosomal RNA
Source: RNAcentral
UGCAAGUCGAGCGGUAGCUCCUAUGAGUUAAAAGCUUAUAGGAGUGAGAGCGGCGCACGGUGAGUAACGCGUAGGUAACCUACCCCAGAGAGGGGGAUAACACCUCGAAAGGGGUGCUAACCCCCAUAUACUUACCGAGCGUAAUAGCUCAGGUAAGGAAAGAGUAUAAGGAGGUACUCCUUAUGCUGCUCUGGGAUGGGCCUGCGGCCUAUCAGCUAGUUGGUGGGGUAACGGCCACCAAGGCUAAGACGGGUAGCCGGCCUGAGAGGGUGGUCGGCCACACUGGGACUGAGAACGGCCCAGACUCCUACGGGAGGCAGCAGCCGGGAAUCUUCCGCAAUGGGGGAAACCCUACGGAGCGACGCCGCGUGAGGGAAGAAGCCCUUCGGGGUGUAAACCUCUUUUCUCGGGGAGAAAGCUGACGGUACCCGAGGAAAAAGCCCCGGCUAACUACGUGCCAGCAGCCGCGGUAGACGUAGGGGGCGAGCGUUGUCCGGAUUUACUGGGCGUAAAGGGCGUGUAGGCGGCUUGCAAGUCAGAUGUGGAAGCCCUGAGCUCAACUCAGGGAGGUCAUCUGAUACUGCUAAGCAGAGGGCAGGAGAGGAGGGCGGAACUUCCGGUGUAGCGGUGAAAUGCGUAGAUAUCGGAGGAACGCCGGUGG